Capra hircus (goat) is the source of this 7294-nucleotide long non-coding RNA. RefSeq annotates it as nuclear factor of activated T-cells 2. The transcript has 11 exons. The record is from RefSeq and is a predicted model, not a curated record. NCBI's taxonomy places the organism in Eukaryota, Metazoa, Chordata, Mammalia, Artiodactyla, Bovidae.
ACGAGGACAGUGACCCCGCCGCUCCGCCCGCCUCUCCGCCCCGCUUCCUGCUCCCUUCGCCCUCGCCGGCGAGGGGCCCGAGAGUCCACCGAGCCCGCCUCCGCCCCCGGCCCGCCGCCCGCCCGCCCGCCCGCCCCUCCGCGCGCCAUGGACGCCCCGGAGCCGCAGCCCGACCCCGACGGCGGGGACGCCCCGGGCCACGAGCCUGGGGGCAGCCCCCAAGACGAGUUCGACUUCUCCAUCCUCUUCGAUUAUGACUAUUUGAAUCCUAUCGAAGAAGAACCGAGUGCGCAUAAGGUGGCCAGCCCACCCUCCGGACUCUACCCCGAUGAUGUCCUGGACUAUGGCCUCAAGCCAUACAGCCCCCUGGCCAGUCUCUCUGGCGAGCCCCCCGGCCGGCUGCGAGAGCCCGAUAGGGUGGGGCCCCAGAACUUUCUGAGCCCCGCCAAGCCACCGGGGGCCUCGGGCCUGAGCCCUCGGAUCGAGAUCACUCCAUCCCACGAACUGAUACAGGCAGGGGGGCCCUUCCGCGUGAGAGACAUUGGCUUCCUGGGCGAGCAGCCGCCCCCGCCGGGGGUGGCGGCCAGCCCGAGGUUCACGCUGCCCGUGCCCGGCUUCGAGGGGUACCGCGAGCCGCUUUGCUUGAGCCCCGCUAGCAGCGGCUCCUCUGCCAGCUUCAUUUCCGACACCUUCUCCCCCUACACCUCGCCCUGCGUCUCGCCCAACAACGGCGGGCCCGAGGACCUGUGUCCCCAGUUUCAAAACAUCCCUGCUCAUUAUUCCCCCAGAACCUCGCCAAUAAUGUCACCUCGAACCGGCCUCGCUGAGGACAGCUGCCUGGGCCGCCACUCGCCCGUGCCCCGUCCGGCCUCCCGCUCCUCGUCGCCUGGUACCAAGCGGCGGCAUUCGUGCGCCGGGGCCUCGGUUGCCCCGCUGCCCGGAGCCUCACCCCAGCGCUCGCGGAGCCCCUCGCCGCAGCCCCGGGACGACGGCGCCCCCGCCGGGUACCCCCCCUCGGCCGGCCCUGCCGCCCUCAUGGAUGCCUUGAACAGCCUCGCCGGCGACUCGCCCUGUGGGAUCCCCCCCAAGAUGUGGAAGACCAGCCCCGACCCGUCGCCGGUGUCCGCCGCCCCGCCCAAGGCCGGCCUGCCGCGGCACCUCUUCCCCGCCGUGGAAUUCCUGGGUCCCUGCGAGCAGGAGGAGAGGCGGAACUCGGCCCCCGAGUCCAUCUUGCUGGUGCCACCCACCUGGCCCAAGCAGCUGGUGCCCGCCAUUCCUGUCUGCAGCAUCCCAGUGACCGCCUCCCUCCCUCCCCUCGAGUGGCCGCUCUCCCACCAGUCAGGCGCCUACGAGCUGCGGAUCGAGGUGCAGCCCAAGCCACACCACCGAGCGCACUACGAGACGGAGGGCAGCCGCGGGGCUGUCAAGGCCCCGACGGGCGGCCACCCUGUCGUUCAGCUCCACGGCUACAUGGAAAACAAGCCCCUGGGGCUUCAGAUCUUCAUUGGGACAGCCGACGAGAGGAUCCUUAAGCCCCAUGCCUUCUACCAGGUACAUCGAAUCACAGGGAAAACCGUCACCACCACCAGCUACGAGAAGAUCGUGGGCAACACCAAAGUCUUGGAGAUUCCGCUGGAGCCGAAAAACAACAUGAGGGCAACCAUCGACUGCGCGGGGAUCCUGAAGCUGAGGAACGCGGACAUUGAGCUGCGGAAAGGUGAGACGGACAUCGGGAGGAAGAACACGCGCGUGAGGCUGGUGUUCCGGGUGCACAUUCCCGAGGCCAGCGGAAGGAUCGUCUCCUUGCAGACGGCGUCCAACCCCAUCGAGUGCUCCCAGCGGUCCGCCCACGAGCUGCCCAUGGUGGAAAGGCAAGACAUCGACAGCUGCCUGGUGUACGGCGGCCAGCAGAUGAUUCUCACGGGACAGAACUUCACGGCCGAGUCCAAAGUCGUGUUCACCGAGAAGACCACAGAUGGGCAACAAAUUUGGGAGAUGGAGGCCACGGUGGAUAAAGACAAGAGCCAGCCUAACAUGCUUUUUGUUGAGAUUCCUGAGUAUCGGAACAAGCACAUUCGGACUUCGGUGAAGGUGAACUUUUACGUCAUCAAUGGGAAAAGAAAACGAAGCCAGCCUCAGCACUUUACCUACCACCCAGUCCCAGCCAUCAAGACGGAGCCCACUGAUGAGUACGACCCUGCCUUGAUCUGCAGCCCCGCCCACGGGGGCCUGGGGAGCCAGCCGUACUACGCGCAGCACCCGAUGGUGGCCGAGCCCCCCUCCUGCCUCGUGGCCACUAUGGCUCCCUGCCAGCAGUUCCGCUCGGGGCUCUCAUCCCCCGACGCGCGCUACCAGCAGCAGAACCCGGCGGCCGUCCUCUACCAGCGGGGCAAGAGCCUGAGCCCCGGGCUGCUGGGCUACCAGCAGCCCGCCCUCAUGGCCGGCCCGCUGGCGCUGGCGGACGCCCACCGCUCCGUGCUGGUGCACGCCGGCUCGCAGGGCCAGGGCGCGGCGCUGCUGCACUCCAGCCCGGCCAACCAGCAGGCCUCGCCCGUCAUCCACUACUCGCCCACCAAUCAGCCGCUGCGCUGUGGGAGCCACCAGGAGUUCCAGCACAUCGUGUACUGCGAGAACUUCGCGCCUGGCCCCGCCAGGCCCGGCCCGCCCCCUGUCAGUCAGGGUCAGAGGCUGAGCCCUGGCUCCUACCCCACCGUCAUCCAGCAGCAGAACGCCCCCAGCCAAAGAGCCGCCAAAAACGGACCCCCGGUCAGUGACCAAAAGGAAGUGUUACCCGCGGGCGUGACUAUCAAACAGGAGCAGAACUUGGACCAGACCUACUUGGAUGACGAGCUGAUAGACACACACCUUAGCUGGAUACAAAACAUAUUAUGAAACAGAAUGACUGUGAUCUUUGAUCCGAGAAAUCAAAGUUAAAGUUAAUGAAAUUAUCAGGAAGGAGUUUUCAGGACCUCCUGCCCGAAAUCAAACGUAGAAGUCAUUAGCAUGAACGACACCGUCCACAUCGCUGACCCCGGAGCCUCCCAGGCCUCCUCGCCUUCCGCCCUAGCAUCAACCCUGCCCCGGGGCUGCGGGCAGGGCCAAGUACCCGCUGAAAGCUAACCUUCAUUCCUCAGCUCUCCUCCUCUCUCUCUCUGCAUCCCGGGUCUUGCUCUGAAUCCCAAAGACCAUCUCCGUUGACUUUGACGGUGUCCCAUCCAAGCCUUAAGUGCCUGCUGACCCCAGAUACAUUCCGAUCAAGACCACCCGCUGGAACAGAAGAUGGGGGCGUGGCAACUGAACCCCAGCCCUCGCCUUCACUUUCUCGGGUCACCGAUACGACUCUUGUACCUUUUGAAGGAAAGGAGGUUCUCCAACAGAGCAACCAAAGGAACGUGACCUAGCUGACAGGCUGGAGAGAAACAGAGAAGCCGGCCCAUACUCGCCUAGUGGUCGCAUGGGCCUCACUGUGGAUGGGCCACAGCUCAAGCUUGGUUUUUAGAUUUUCUGCUUUGGAAGCAAAAAGAAACAAACCCGAUCUGGCUCAUACAAGUUCACCUGUUAAAACUUCUUGGCCUUAAGUUAUGGCGUGUCUGCUUCCCCCCCACCUUCUCUGCUUUCAAAAAGCUGGCUGGAGGGGGCGCCUUCUCGGCCAGCUGCCUUUCCCCCCUGCACGGGACUGCUGGGCGUCACCCCAGCUGCAGGGUGAGCACCGUCCACUGCGGCCGGACAAGCUUCACAACUCUCUACUCUUCCCACUUACUUUUCUCCAACAGCCCAAGUGCUUUUCCAUAAUGUAGUUAAGAAGAAUCUUAAGCAUGUGCAUUGAAUUUUGGGAAGGAAUGGCAGAAGGGCUGAAGCAAUCCCCUCCCACCGCCCCAAAAAACCACCAUGCAGGUAUCUUUGUUAAGUGUGGUCGCUGGCAGGUCCAAGUGUUUCAGUGGGUGGGUUCCUCCAGGAAGAAGGCUCAGGAUUUGGCUCCAAAGUUCGCUGGUUACCUUUGCCUGGACCCAUUGAAACCCGCCCCCUCCCCCAAAGACCCAUCUACAUUAGCUGCUUCAUCCAACACAAAAGUGACCUAAAUAGAAGCAAACCCAGCCCCUGCACGGCCCUCAAUUUGGAUGCACUCGGCUCUGACCACUCAGAAGGGGUGCGCAGUUUAUCCGCCCCCCAACCCCCGCCCUGUUUAUCUCUGGGAGUGCACCCGCCACUGUCUGUCUCCCCAGGGCAAUUUUUGCAAACAAAACCCUCUAAGUUCUUGGCAGGUGAGUUUUUAAUCACACAGAUGUUUGUUUACACUAAUUGCAGUGACCCCAGGGCAAGCCAGGGAUUCUUUUUUAGAUGUUCAUUGCUUCUCCCCAGUCUGCCUGGAGUAUGAGUACUCCUAGCAGUCUUCGGAAGGCUUUGCUCAGACCUUCUCCCUUAGAGCUGAUAAUCACUCUGAGACGAGUGGCAGUUAAGGGCUCCCCGUGGGUUUUCUAAGUUCUGGCUUGGUUGUCAAGUCUCCCCAGAGAGAGAGCACCUUUCGACAGCUGGACCAGAACUCGGGGCCUGGUGACCCGGGCCUGCUGUGUGCGGGGCUCCAGAGAAAAGAACAGAGUGCCUUUGCAGUCACCUGUCUGCACCCUUUCCGUCAGGACCUAGCAUUUCUUUUCCCCCAAGGAGGGGGACUUUUCCACCCACCCCAAGCAGAGUUUAGCAAAAUUCUUUUCGACAGACAGAGUGUCAGUAAGAAGCUGACCAACAUUGCAGGAUGCAAGCUUUCUGGGAUGCAAAAUUCUUCCUCAUUGAUCAAGAGUUCCUUAUCUAAGCAGCUUUACCCAAAGAACUCUCCAGCAGUGCUGACUUCACGGGGAAGGGGUGAACAAUCUAUUCUCACUUGACCUGGCUGGGAGCCUUUUUUUUUUUUUUUUUUUUUGCACAUGAGGGAAUUUGGCCUUUCCUCGGUUAUCUGAAUGUUUUACCCAAGUGCCUUCCUGCUAUUGUAGCAAAGUCGCUCAGCUGCCUUGUGCAUGGGGUGGAAAAGGACUAAUGCGCUUUCCAUCACUAUUCUAACCACGUUAGUGCAAAGGGCCUCCUAGUAGCUCAGAUUUCUGUACGUAUAGAUGUAUGUGCUUCUGUCUGUAAGACACUCACAAACUCUUUUUUUCUAAGACAUCCUAGUUGGGUAUUAUAGGAAGCACUUUCAUAAACAGCUAUACCAAAUAACAAAGGAAAGAGAAACAAAAGCAUUAGAUUCGGGACAUAAACAGGCAAGAGAACGUAAUAGGAUGUGACAGCAAUCAAGAGAGUUUUGUCAGUGACAGAGGCCGGGGGAAGUUUGGCCAAGUAAACUGUUCAUGAGAUAUUUUCAGUAUGGGAAGAGGCAUUAGGGCCUCAAAGAGAGAGAAAAAGGAUGUCUAAACUGUCAAGAUGGGUGUGUUGCACGUGUGUUAGAAGGAUCUGUUAGGUGGAGGUUUGCACUUGGUACAUCCAAGGUUGUGUAAAUAGAUAACCCUUCCAACAGCGAUCUGCCCUGUUGCUGAAUGUAGUAUAUUUCCAAAGUUUCGAGUCUUCCUGUAUUGUACAAAAAAACUGCUGCUUGAUAAUAUAUAAUGGCAACCCCAAAUUAAUGAGUAUGGUAUUAAAUUUUAUUUUCUUAUCUGUAUUUUUAUGCUUUGUAUCUGUCCUCAAAAUAUCACAUCCUUGUUGGAAUAGAAAAUAUUUAUAAGUGGUUAAAAAUCUUUUUCAAAUGUCUCUUUUUACAUAUCUGUUGAGGAUUUUUUUUUUUUCCUUGAGAGAGAGGAUGUAUUCUUGAAGAUGUGUUACUCAUUCCAGGAGAGCAAAACAAGCCCAGCUCAGAGCCCAUCUCCUGUCUCCUGGAAGAAGCCACGUCCAGAGGCAGGGGAGGGAUGGCUGCGUGGGAGGCAGCGGCACCUGUGUGCUGCCUGCGGACGCUGCCAGCUUCGGCUCUGAGCCGCCUUCUUGUCGCUGAGAACUGGGAAGUGUCUCGGGCCCCAGUAAGUGACCCAGUAGGUGGUUCUGAGGUGACAGAACCGCCUGUGUUGUAAUGGGGAGUCUAAAAAGGCUCACGUCCACGAACAGAAGCACAGGCUGCGGCUUACCGAGCCGACGCAAUCCUGGCAGACAGACACGCCGCCCGAGGGACGCCCAGAGUUCUCCAGCAGAGACACCACCCCGACCAAUCGAGGCGACUCCUUCUAAGAACGGACAUGCACGGACGCGGCCUUUCUUGUUUACAUCCAGUGGUCAAGCCAUCCCUCUCAGGAAGCCAGCCUUGGCCAGCGUGGGAGCUGUCCUGUGCAGACAGAUCGGAAGCCCAUGUGUUCUCAUUUGUCACUCUGGACUAAAGGGAGGCUUGAGUUUGUUUAUUUUCAUGUCAAAUGUCAAACCCUUUCCAAGUGCUUUUUAUUUUGUUCAGAAUUGAAAGAAUGUCAGGGUCUGGUUAACAACUGUUUGCUUUACAUUUACAAGAGGCAUGGGGUUGUGACAUUUUUGACAAGCUGGGGUAAACCUUCCUGAACUCAGUCUUGGAGGCCAGCCCCUUAGGGGGUACCCAACACAUCUUGGGUCUUGGGCGUUAAAUCUCAUGGAGCCAAACCAGCCAAUGCAAGUGGUUUUCCUGCAUUCCAACUGAUUGCCUAAGAAAAAGAAGCAUCACAUGAAACUGGUCCCAAACAUCAGUUUCUCUCAGUUUUCAUGAGUGUCUUGAGUUAUAGCCAACACCACUGUCUUAACUGUUUGCGUACAAACUCUCCUGGUGGCUGGUGAGCUAGCUGUGCUCCCUAAGCCAGCUCCCCUCUCAAAAAUACAAGCUGGGGAGUUGAGUGCUGGAAGAAAGGAUUUAAACCCUGCCUGUAAGUGGCUGCUGGCCAAUUAGAAUAAACUCCGCCUACCUAGUUGGGCUUCAGAUGCAAAUGACGAGAUCAGCAGGUGCUCUCAGCACGCUGACUGACCUGAACUGAUAGAGGCUGCGGCUGGGACAAGCUGAGCACCUUGACACACGUCUUGUCAAAGAGCCUCACUCCCUCCUGUUGCCUCUAGCGCCCUCAGAGGGAGAUGAUGUUGAGAACGUCCUUGUUAACUCUCCAACAAAUAAAAAGUCUCUCCUGGGGUGGUGCUGGAAGGUUUAAAAAAGAUUUUGAAAAUCUUGACUGUUAACAGGAGUUUGAAUACAUCACAUUCCCAUGCAAAACGUUUUUAAUCUCCAGUUUAAUGUAGUUUAUUUUUGCUAUAUGUAAAGUAUUUUUAUACGGCUUGUAUCAUGAUAGUUUAGCAAUAAAACUGUUGAAAGCAA